Molecule: unclassified non-coding RNA, 210 nt
Filed under: Hevea brasiliensis (rubber tree)
Lineage: Eukaryota; Viridiplantae; Streptophyta; Magnoliopsida; Malpighiales; Euphorbiaceae
Source: RNAcentral
GUCAUAUGUUCAGCUGUCUUUGUUGACAUAUAUAACCUUCGUAGUCUUCGUGUUAGAGGAAAUUAAUGUAGUAUUUUAUAUGGAAUGCCCUUUUGCUUUUCAUCACCAAUUCAACUAGGCUUGUAACAUGGGUGACCACAUUUUGGACAAUCCCUUAUGUCUUAAUAUAGGAUACAACCUGUAUUACACACAUCUAUCUUUUCAUAUCCU